CUCCCUCUUUUUUUUUCUUCCUCUUUCUCUCUCUCUAUUUCUCUCAAUUUCUCAUUUUCUUCUUCCGGUUCGAAUCGUCGGUUCGAUACGGUAUAAAACCAUACCGAACCGUACCGCCGGUCGAUCGAAACGGCCGGCGGUACCGGUUCAGCAAACCUUGGGGGAUAGGGUUUUUACACUGGAUUAACUAAUUUACAACCAUUUUUGCACUAUUGAUGUGAACAUGCUACCAAAAUUUGAUUCACAAUCAAUGUGAUCUACAAAAAAGCAAUUUGGACAUGCCCAGACCAAAGCCAAGG
RNAcentral lists this long non-coding RNA (299 nucleotides) under Elaeis guineensis (African oil palm). RNAcentral describes it as "long non-coding RNA (EGUI_LNC073828)". The record is from RNAcentral. Lineage: Eukaryota; Viridiplantae; Streptophyta; Magnoliopsida; Arecales; Arecaceae.